Molecule: ribosomal RNA, 234 nt
Filed under: uncultured bacterium
Lineage: Bacteria
Description: partial 16S ribosomal RNA
Rfam family: Bacterial small subunit ribosomal RNA
Source: RNAcentral
CGGAUCUCUUAAAGCCGUCUCAGUUCGGACUGUAGGCUGCAACUCGCCUACACGAAGCUGGAAUCGCUAGUAAUCGCGGAUCAGCACGCCGCGGUGAAUACGUUCCCGGGCCUUGUACACACCGCCCGUCACACCAUGAGAGUCUGUAACACCCAAAGCCGGUGGGAUAACCUUUAUAGGAGUCAGCCGUCUAAGGUAGGACAGAUGAUUAGGGUGAAGUCGUAACAAGGUAGC